Molecule: small nucleolar RNA, 70 nt
Organism: Rhinolophus ferrumequinum (greater horseshoe bat)
Lineage: Eukaryota; Metazoa; Chordata; Mammalia; Chiroptera; Rhinolophidae
Product: small nucleolar RNA SNORD113/SNORD114 family
Exons: 1
Source: RefSeq, a predicted model, not a curated record
CAGGCCAAUGAUGAAAAUGUGUUAUGAAGCAAGAGUUAUGACUAACAAAAUCUGUGACUCUGAGGUUUAA